Molecule: ribosomal RNA, 165 nt
Filed under: uncultured bacterium
Lineage: Bacteria
Description: partial 16S ribosomal RNA
Rfam family: Bacterial small subunit ribosomal RNA
Source: RNAcentral
UAGGGGAAUCUUCCACAAUGGGCGGAAAGCCUGAUGGAGCAACGCCGCGUGUGUGAUGAAGGGUUUCGGCUCGUAAACACUGUUGUAAGAGAAGAAUGACAUUGAGAGUAACUGUUCAAUGUGUGACGGUAUCUUACCAGAAAGGAACGGCUAAAUACGUGCCGG